GAUGAACGCUGGCGGCGUGCCUAAUACAUGCAAGUCGAGCGAACGGACGAGAAGCUUGCUUCUCUGAUGUUAGCGGCGGACGGGUGAGUAACACGUGGAUAACCUACCUAUAAGACUGGGAUAACUUCGGGAAACCGGAGCUAAUACCGGAUAAUAUUUUGAACCGCAUGGUUCAAAAGUAAAAGACGGUCUUGCUGUCACUUAUAGAUGGAUCCGCGCUGCAUUAGCUAGUUGGUAAGGUAACGGCUUACCAAGGCAACGAUGCAUAGCCGACCUGAGAGGGUGAUCGGCCACACUGGAACUGAGACACGGUCCAGACUCCUACGGGAGGCAGCAGUAGGGAAUCUUCCGCAAUGGGCGAAAGCCUGACGGAGCAACGCCGCGUGAGUGAUGAAGGUCUUCGGAUCGUAAAACUCUGUUAUUAGGGAAGAAUAUAUGUGUAAGUAACUGUGCACAUCUUGACGGUACCUAAUCAGAAAGCCACGGCUAACUACGUGCCAGCAGCCGCGGUAAUACGUAGGUGGCAAGCGUUAUCCGGAAUUAUUGGGGGUAAAGCGCGCGUAGGCGGUUUUUUAGUCUGAUGUGAAAGCCCACGGCUCAACCGUGGAGGGUCAUUGGAAACUGGAAAACUUGAGUGCAGAAGAGGAAAGUGGAAUUCCAUGUGUAGCGGUGAAAUGCGCAGAGAUAUGGAGGAACACCAGUGGCGAAGGCGACUUUCUGGUCUGUAACUGACGCUGAUGUGCGAAAGCGUGGGGAUCAAACAGGAUUAGAUACCCUGGUAGUCCACGCCGUAAACGAUGAGUGCUAAGUGUUAGGGGGUUUCCGCCCCUUAGUGCUGCAGCUAACGCAUUAAGCACUCCGCCUGGGGAGUACGACCGCAAGGUUGAAACUCAAAGGAAUUGACGGGGACCCGCACAAGCGGUGGAGCAUGUGGUUUAAUUCGAAGCAACGCGAAGAACCUUACCAGAUCUUGACAUCCUUUGACAACUCUAGAGAUAGAGCCUUCCCCUUCGGGGGACAAAGUGACAGGUGGUGCAUGGUUGUCGUCAGCUCGUGUCGUGAGAUGUUGGGUUAAGUCCCGCAACGAGCGCAACCCUUAAGCUUAGUUGCCAUCAUUAAGUUGGGCACUCUAAGUUGACUGCCGGUGACAAACCGGAGGGAGGUGGGGAUGACGUCAAAUCAUCAUGCCCCUUAUGAUUUGGGCUACACACGUGCUACAAUGGACAAUACAAAGGGCAGCGAAACCGCGAGGUCAAGCAAAUCCCAUAAAGUUGUUCUCAGUUCGGAUUGUAGUCUGCAACUCGACUACAUGAAGCUGGAAUCGCUAGUAAUCGUAGAUCAGCAUGCUACGGUGAAUACGUUCCCGGGUCU
RNAcentral lists this ribosomal RNA (1371 nucleotides) under uncultured bacterium. Its description in RNAcentral is "bacterial SSU rRNA". It matches the Rfam family "Bacterial small subunit ribosomal RNA", at positions 28 to 1381 of the family's 1533-position model. The record is from RNAcentral.